Molecule: ribosomal RNA, 253 nt
Filed under: uncultured bacterium
Lineage: Bacteria
Description: partial 16S ribosomal RNA
Rfam family: Bacterial small subunit ribosomal RNA
Source: RNAcentral
UACGUAGGGGGCAAGCGUUGUCCGGAUUUACUGGGCGUAAAGAGCGCGUAGGCGGAAGUUUAAGCGUAGCCUGAAAGCCCCCGGCUCAACCGGGGAGGGUGGCCGCGAACUGGACUUCUUGAGGGCGAUAGAGGAGAGCGGAAUUCCUGGUGUAGCGGUGAAAUGCGUAGAGAUCAGGAGGAACACCCGUGGCGAAGGCGACUUACUGGACGAUUGUUGACGCUGAGGUGCGAAAGCGUGGGGAGCAAACAGG